UACGUAGGGGGCAAGCGUUGUCCGGAUUUAUUGGGCGUAAAGAGCGUGUAGGCGGUUAGGUAGGUCCGUUGUGAAAACUCGAGGCUCAACCUCGAGACGCCGAUGGAAACCAUCUGACUAGAGUCCGGAAGAGGAGAGUGGAAUUCCUGGUGUAGCGGUGAAAUGCGCAGAUAUCAGGAGGAACACCAAUGGCGAAGGCAGCUCGCUGGAACGGUACUGACGCUGAGACGCGAAAGCGUGGGGAGCAAACAGG
This 253-nucleotide ribosomal RNA is filed under the name uncultured bacterium. RNAcentral's name for it is "partial 16S ribosomal RNA". It matches the Rfam family "Bacterial small subunit ribosomal RNA", at positions 524 to 776 of the family's 1533-position model. The record is from RNAcentral.